RNAcentral lists this long non-coding RNA (4214 nucleotides) under Medicago truncatula (barrel medic). RNAcentral's name for it is "long non-coding RNA (MTRU_LNC005885)". Lineage: Eukaryota; Viridiplantae; Streptophyta; Magnoliopsida; Fabales; Fabaceae. The record is from RNAcentral.
UCCGACCAAUCACAAUCGGCUCUAUAAAACAACAUAAAAAAAUUAAAAGAUAAAAAUAAAGUAGCACUAAAUAAUUUGAACCAUUAAAAUAAAGUAGCACUAAAUAAUAUAUAAAUAAAUAAAUAUCUAUGCACCCACGGGUUAUUCAAGUUCUAGGGUUAGUUGAUUCAAACACAAAAAGAAAAAGAGAAGAAAAAAAAGAAGAAUAAAAAAACACCACGUUUUUCUUUCUAUUUCCUUUCCCUAUUACAUUCACUCACAUGAUAUAUAUAUAUAUAUAUACCCAUCACCCUUCCUCUUCAAUUCAUCCCUUUGUGUCUCAAUAUUCAUCUCUCUCUCUCCAAAAAAAUCUCUCUAGCUCUCUCUUUCUGUUCUUCAAAUAAAAAUCCAACCAAACUAAAUUAAAACAUCAAUAUACAAAAUGGAAAACAACGUACCAAUAAUAACCAAGAGAGUAUGGAGUAUGAUACGUGUGGCUUUGUUCAUGUUAAGAAAAGGCAUAUCAAAGGGAAAACUAAUGAUGGACCUCAACAUGAUGGUUAAACACCGCGGCAAGCUCGCCGGAAAAGCCAUCACCAACCUCAUGUUUCAUCACCACCACGGUGGCUCCACCUCAAGCCGUCGUAACGACACACGCCUCUCUACCACAAGGGAGUAUGAGUUCAGCUGUAGCAACACCCCUAAAUACAAAUUUUCAUUUAACAACAAACGCCACCGCAACAACCACUUCUUCACGUGUGCUCACGCGCCUCUCACACAAGACGAUGACAUUGUUACCGUUAAUGCGGUUAAGGCUGUGUUAGAGAAAAUGGUAAACAAUAAUGAGGUGAUAGGUGAGGCUUCCCCGGUGCUCCCCGGUUCUCGACGAACUCCUAUGACCAGGCAGUUGAUGGUUAAUGACCUUGACACCGAUACGGAUGCCGAGGUAGACAAGGCUGCCGAAGCAUUUAUAAAGAGGUUUUACUUGCAGUUGAAGUAAGAGGAUGGAGUUUUGUUUCACAAUUUUGUUUCUUAACAUUUAAUUAAUGUUACUUUGUGAUUUGUGAUUUAUGAUUUAUGAACAUACAAAGCUGGUAUGCAGUUUUGGAUAGUACUAGCUUCAUGCAUGUCUUUGUGGAACCUUAGGAGAAGAUCAUGGACAUGCAUGAUAAUUUUGUUACUUUAUUUUUUUAUAUAUGUUGAGAGUUUAUUGGCAAAAUUAAUAUCCUCUGUGAAUUUGUCAAAAGAAAUAUGAAAGUUCCAUUUUUAGAGAGAUAUAUAAUCGCAAAAAAUCAAGAUGAAUAAAAUUAAGGUAUCUUGUGUUAAACAUAGUUUGGGUCGGGGACAUAUGUCCUCAAAAUGCUCCAUAGCCCAAACUUGAAAGAAGAAAAAGGUUAAGAACACAUCCAGGGCUGGUCCUAGGAUUUUUCGUGUCCUGGACGAAACAAUAAAUUGUACCCUUUUAAUUAUUUUAAUAUUUUUUUUCUUGCAUUUUUUGUUGAAAAAUAUUCGUUUAUAUAUAAUCAAAGUUAUAUAAAAAUAUAUUUUCAAUAGAAUUAACCAAAGCGAAUUAAAAAAAAAUAAUAUAUCUAUAUAAUACUAACUACUAAAUAAAAAUAAUAAUUUUGGUGCCUCUAAAAAAGUGGUGCCCAGGGCUACCGCCCCUCGUGCCCGCCCUCAGGGCCACCCCUGAACACAUCCAAAAUAUCUUAAAUGUCAUGCAAGCGGUAUAUCUUUAAUGUUAGUAACACAUCAGUCAAAAUAUCUUAAAUAUCAUACAAUAUGAUGAUAUUCUCACCAAUGGAAAAAAUGAAAGCUACUCGUGUCCCUAUGCCACCACUUUGUCAAUGUCGUGCAUGCAUGUGUUCUUAUUAACUUGACCAUAGUUGGUAUCAACAAGGUUUGGUGUUGGCUAGCAGCGGCGUGGUGGCUGGUAUUGGCAUAGUUGGUAGCCUUUUGGAGCUUUUUUGGUUUUUAGGAUCUUAUUGUGUUUCUUUAGUGCUUUUGGGAGUUUACUACUAAAACAAUGCUAGUUUUCUUGUCUUAGCCCAAUUCGAUAACAUUUUGUAUUCGCAUUUGUGUAUUAUCUUAAAAUUUUCCCUUUGAAAAAAAACAUAAAAUUAGUAUUAUAUAUGUAAAGAAAACAUAAAUAUGAUUAUAUUUUUAUAUACUACUCUGACCCAUAUCUUGACUGCAAUGUGCUUACAAAAAUUUGGCAUGAGUGACAUAUGAGAAGGAUCAACACCAAUUCUAUUAUUAGCGUCCUCUGGUGGCGGUUGUGGUGGGUUAUGUGGUGGAGAGCCUUCAGCCGAGUCUGUAACUUUUGUAUGUCCCUACGCAUGAAAUUGUGCAAUAUCUCCCUUCAUGUCUACCAACAUCGUCCACCAUAUCUAGAGCUACCAACAAAAAGAGACAAAUUAAUCAUUAAAGUAUUUCAUCAAACAUAUAGAGCUAAAAAAACAACAUUUACAUUUCUAAUUAGCAUUUGAAUACCACAUUUCGCUAGUUCAAACCCUAAAAUACAUUCACAUUCACAUCCUAACUACUUGAUCAACAACAACAAAGUUCUGAACUACAUUCACAUUCAAAUUCUAAAAUAAACCCUAUCUCGCAACAAACACAAAAUGAGAGAAAAUAAACAUUUGUUGGGUUUAAGAAGAAAUGUCAAAAUAAAUACAAUUUCUUCGACCCUAGGUUGAUGAAAAUCAAUUGUUGAACUAUAAGAAUGUUUGGAUAUAAAGAAUUCAAAGUAAACGCAUAUAAGAACAAGUCUUUUAUUCUUGUAUAAGGCUGAUGUAGAUUGGAACGUAACCCUUUGUCGUUAUAUAAAGGAGAAUUUUGGGAUAACGUGUAAGCAAUUCAAAGGUUACAUGGAGAACCUUUCAAAGUUUGUAAUCUUAUUAUGAUUUUUUUUGUUUGUUUUGCGGUUUAUGUUUUUUAUUCUUAGAAAAUAGGUCUUUCAUCUCUUAAAAAUUCAUUUUAUUUUAAUUACAUUUUUAUUAUAUAUCAGAAUGUUAGAAUAUUAGCGAGUAUGUAGCAAUAACAAUCUUUAAAAAAUUUAUAGAAUUAAAAAAAUCAUGAAAAAUUUAGUUAAAAAUCAUACUAAAAGAAUCUAAGAAAAUGCACCUAAGUUUAUAAAAGGGUUAAUGGUACUUUAUCCCCCUGUAAUAUAGGUUAUUUUUGGUUUUCCCCCCUGUAAAAUAUUUUUUUUUAUUUACCCCUUGUAAAUUUUUUUUUUGAAUACCCCCUAAUAGGUCAUAAAAAAACGACUUUAUUUUUUUUUUUGCAGAAUUUUUUCGUUUUUUUAUGACCUAUUAGGGGGUAUUCCAAAAAAAAAAAAAAUUACAGGUGAGUAAAUCAAAAAAAAUAUUUUACAGGAGGGAAAACUAAAAAUGACCUAUAUUACAAGGGGUUAAAGCACCAUUAAUCCUUUAUAAAAUGUACACAAUAUCACGUUAGAUUCAACUUCAAAGUCUUACCUCUUAACUCUUAAGGCAACACCCCUCACCAAUCAUACUCAGUUAAACUAAAUAAAAUAAAAUAAAAAAAAAAGCUAAAACUAAAGUAGCACUAAAUGAUAAAUAUCUAUGUACCCACACCACGGGUUAUUCAAAAGUUCUAGGGUAGGUUGAUUCAAUCACACAAAAAAAAAAACACGUUUUUCUUUCUCCUCUUUUUCCCCAUUACAUUCACAUAUAUAUACACCCAUUUCCCUUCCUCUUCAAUUCAUCCCUUUCUUUGUGUUUCAAUAUCUCUCUCCAAAAAAUAAAAUCUCUCUAGCUAUACCUCUUUCUUUCCUUCAAAUUAAAUUAAAACAUCAAUAUACAAAAUGGAAAACAACGUACCAAUAAUAACCAAGAGAGUAUGGAGUAUGAUACGUGUGGCUUUGUUCAUGUUAAGAAAAGGUAUAUCAAAGGGAAAACUAAUGAUGGACCUCAACAUGAUGGUCAAACGCCGUAGAAGCUUGCCGGAAAAGCCAUCACCAACCUCAUGUUUCAUCACCACCAUGGUGGCUCCACCUCAAGCCGCCGUAAUGACACACGCCUCUCUACCACAAGGGAGUAUGAGUUCAGCUGCAGCAACACACCCAACUACAAAUUUGCCCUAAACAACAAGCGUCAUAACUUCUUCACGUGUGCUCACGCGCCUCUCACAAAAGAAGACGACAUUGUAACCGUUAAUGCGGUUAAAGCUGUGUUGGAGAGCAUGGUAAACAAUAAUGAAGUAAUUGUCGA